Molecule: ribosomal RNA, 427 nt
Filed under: uncultured bacterium
Lineage: Bacteria
Description: bacterial SSU rRNA
Rfam family: Bacterial small subunit ribosomal RNA
Source: RNAcentral
CACUAUUGGAGCGGCCGAUAUCGGAUUAGCUAGUUGGUGGGGUAACGGCUCACCAAGGCGACGAUCCGUAGCUGGUUUGAGAGGACGACCAGCCACACUGGGACUGAGACACGGCCCAGACUCCUACGGGAGGCAGCAGUGGGGAAUUUUGGACAAUGGGGGCAACCCUGAUCCAGCCAUCCCGCGUGUGCGAUGAAGGCCUUCGGGUUGUAAAGCACUUUUGGCAGGAAAGAAACGGCGCUGGUUAAUACCUGGCGCAACUGACGGUACCUGCAGAAUAAGCACCGGCUAACUACGUGCCAGCAGCCGCGGUAAUACGUAGGGUGCAAGCGUUAAUCGGAAUUACUGGGCGUAAAGCGUGCGCAGGCGGUUCGGAAAGAAAGAUGUGAAAUCCCAGGGCUUAACCUUGGAACUGCAUUUUUAACUA